Molecule: long non-coding RNA, 411 nt
Filed under: Equus asinus (donkey)
Lineage: Eukaryota; Metazoa; Chordata; Mammalia; Perissodactyla; Equidae
Description: lncRNA (ENSEASG00005027711.1)
Source: RNAcentral
AUACCAAGGAGCAUGAUUGCUGGAGCGUAUGGAAGAUUUGCUCUGAGCUAACAUCUGUUGCCGGUUUUCCUCUUCUUUUGUGUGUGAGCCACCGCCACAGCAUGGCCACUGACAGGUCCUUCUAGUUGUGGCAUGUGGGAUGCCUCCUCAGCAUGGCCUGACGAGCGGUGCCAUGUCUGUGCCUGGGAUCUGAACCAGCAAAACCCUGGGCUGCUGAAGUGGAGCAUGCAAACUUAACCACUCGGCCACGGAGCUGGCCCCACGAAAACUGGCCCUGAGCUAACAUCCACACCCAUCUUCCUCUGCUUUAUAUGUGGGACACCUACCACGGCAUGGCUUUUGCCAAGCGGUGCCAUGUCCACACCUGGGAUCUGAACCGGCAAACCCUGGGCUGCCGAAGCAGAACAUGUA